GGAUUAGAUACCCUGGUAGUCCACGCCGUAAACGAUGUGCACUAGACCGUUGCGGGUCUGACCCCGUGGUGGUCGGAGAGAAAUUGUUAAGUGCACCGCCUGGGGAGUACGGUCGCAAGGCUAAAACUCAAAGGAAUUGACGGGGGCUCACACAAGCGGUGGAGCAUGUUGCUUAAUUCGAAGCAACGCGAAGAACCUUACCUGGCCUUGACAUGCACGGAUUAGCUUUGGGAAACCAGAGUGACGCCCUCGGGUGGAACGUGCACAGGUGCUGCAUGGCUGUCGUCAGCUCGUGCCG
This 298-nucleotide ribosomal RNA is filed under the name uncultured bacterium. RNAcentral's name for it is "partial 16S ribosomal RNA". It matches the Rfam family "Bacterial small subunit ribosomal RNA", at positions 775 to 1067 of the family's 1533-position model. The record is from RNAcentral.